Chiloscyllium plagiosum (whitespotted bambooshark) is the source of this 284-nucleotide non-coding RNA. The record is from RefSeq and is a predicted model, not a curated record. NCBI's taxonomy places the organism in Eukaryota, Metazoa, Chordata, Chondrichthyes, Orectolobiformes, Hemiscylliidae.
ACGCAUUGUACUGUUAAAACAGGUCGUAACCUGAAAUGACACUAUUAUGGAUGUCCAUUUUUGCAACGUGUUUGUUAAAUUAGGGAUAAAUUGAAAGCCAGGAUCAGCAGCUCAACACAAAAUUAUGACAUCACAGGUUCUGGCUGACUGCGAUACUGCAACCCCCCCCCAGAAAGAAUGAUUCUGGAAGCAGAUGAAUCACAUAAAAGCCGAGACUUGUGUCUUUUGCAAGGUGAACUUUUCGUGCUUUUGGUUCAAAACUCCAAUAAUCUGUGCAACGCAAU